UAGGGAAUCUUCGGCAAUGGGGGGAACCCUGACCGAGCAACGCCGCGUGAGUGAAGAAGGUUUUCGGAUCGUAAAGCUCUGUUGUUAAGGAAGAACGAGUGUGAGAAUGGAAAGUUCAUGCUGUGACGGUACUUAACCAGAAAGGGACGGCUAACUACGUGCCAGCAGCCGCGGUAAUUCGUAGGUCCCGAGCGUUGUCCGGAUUUAUUGGGCGUAAAGCGAGCGCAGGCGGUUAGAAAAGUCUGAAGUGAAAGGCAGUGGCUCAACCAUUGUAGGCUUUGGAAACUGUUUAACUUGAGUGCAGAAGGGGAGAGUGGAAUUCCAUGUGUAGCGGUGAAAUGCGUAGAUAUAUGGAGGAACACCGGUGGCGAAAGCGGCUCUCUGGUCUGUAACUGACGCUGAGGCUCGAAAGCGUGGGGAGCGAACAGG
Molecule: ribosomal RNA, 429 nt
Filed under: Bacteroidota bacterium
Lineage: Bacteria; Pseudomonadati; Bacteroidota
Description: Bacteroidetes bacterium partial 16S ribosomal RNA
Rfam family: Bacterial small subunit ribosomal RNA
Source: RNAcentral